RNAcentral lists this long non-coding RNA (184 nucleotides) under Ovis aries (sheep). RNAcentral's name for it is "lncRNA (ENSOARG00000026977.1)". The record is from RNAcentral. Lineage: Eukaryota; Metazoa; Chordata; Mammalia; Artiodactyla; Bovidae.
GACUAAUCAAGUGCCCGACUUAUGUGAAAUUGUGAAGUCUCCACUUUGAUAACAGAUACUCACUAAGGCUUAUGCUAUGAUUGUGUUCAGUAAGGAAGCUACGGACGCUCUCCAAGAAGAUGAGGAAAGGAAAAUAUCAUUCACUGACCACAGGGUGAUCCAGAUGCAAGAUCAUCUGAAGUAA